This 67-nucleotide transfer RNA is filed under the name Drino sp. PH-2020. RNAcentral describes it as "tRNA-Ser". The record is from RNAcentral. Lineage: Eukaryota; Metazoa; Arthropoda; Insecta; Diptera; Tachinidae.
AGUUAAUGAACUUGAACAAGUAUAUGUUUUGAAAACAUAUUAUAGAAAUUAAAUUUUCUAUUAACUU